Molecule: transfer RNA, 73 nt
Filed under: bacterium
Lineage: Bacteria
Description: tRNA-Lys
Rfam family: tRNA
About the family: Transfer RNA (tRNA) molecules are approximately 80 nucleotides in length. Their secondary structure includes four short double-helical elements and three loops (D, anti-codon, and T loops). Further hydrogen bonds mediate the characteristic L-shaped molecular structure. tRNAs have two regions of fundamental functional importance: the anti-codon, which is responsible for specific mRNA codon recognition, and the 3' end, to which the tRNAs corresponding amino acid is attached (by aminoacyl-tRNA synthetases). tRNAs cope with the degeneracy of the genetic code in two manners: having more than one tRNA (with a specific anti-codon) for a particular amino acid; and 'wobble' base-pairing, i.e. permitting non-standard base-pairing at the 3rd anti-codon position.
Source: RNAcentral
GGGCUUAUAGCUCAGUUGGUAGAGCAGUUGACUCUUAAUCAAUUGGUCCUGGGUUCGAGUCCCAGUGGGCCCA